RNAcentral lists this ribosomal RNA (486 nucleotides) under uncultured bacterium. RNAcentral's name for it is "partial 16S ribosomal RNA". It matches the Rfam family "Bacterial small subunit ribosomal RNA", at positions 30 to 507 of the family's 1533-position model. The record is from RNAcentral.
AUUGAACGCUGGCGGCAUGCCUUACACAUGCAAGUCGAACGGCAGCACGGGUGCUUGCACCUGGUGGCGAGUGGCGAACGGGUGAGUAAUACAUCGGAACAUGUCCUGUAGUGGGGGAUAGCCCGGCGAAAGCCGGAUUAAUACCGCAUACGAUCUACGGAUGAAAGCGGGGGACCUUCGGGCCUCGCGCUAUAGGGUUGGCCGAUGGCUGAUUAGCUAGUUGGUGGGGUAAAGGCCUACCAAGGCGACGAUCAGUAGCUGGUCUGAGAGGACGACCAGCCACACUGGGACUGAGACACGGCCCAGACUCCUACGGGAGGCAGCAGUGGGGAAUUUUGGACAAUGGGCGAAAGCCUGAUCCAGCAAUGCCGCGUGUGUGAAGAAGGCCUUCGGGUUGUAAAGCACUUUUGUCCGGAAAGAAAUCCUUGGCUCUAAUACAGUCGGGGGAUGACGGUACCGGAAGAAUGAGCACCGGCUAACUACGUG